This is a long non-coding RNA of Symsagittifera roscoffensis, 252 nucleotides long. RefSeq lists it as uncharacterized. Lineage: Eukaryota; Metazoa; Xenacoelomorpha; Acoela; Convolutidae. The record is from RefSeq and is a predicted model, not a curated record. The transcript is spliced from 4 exons.
AAAUUGUGAAAAUCUGUGUGAGAAUCAGGUGCCGAAUGGACUCGGCCCCAACAUGCGAUGGGAUCCUGUUGUCAUCAAGUGUGCGGAUCGAGACCCGCACAAGUUUGGGGUGAGGGCACACACUGUCGUCAGUGGCUUCGACAACUGCGGCCUGCCCAACCCAGACGGAAUAUACUGCGAAUCGAACCAGGCCAAGAACCAAAGUGACCUCUGUUGUACUAAACCAGACUGCCCUGGACUCAACCAAGGCGG